RNAcentral lists this ribosomal RNA (439 nucleotides) under uncultured bacterium. RNAcentral's name for it is "partial 16S ribosomal RNA". It matches the Rfam family "Bacterial small subunit ribosomal RNA", at positions 339 to 795 of the family's 1533-position model. The record is from RNAcentral.
CUACGGGAGGCAGCAGUGGGGAAUCUUGCACAAUGGGCGCAAGCCUGAUGCAGCCAUGCCGCGUGAGUGAAGAAGGCCUUAGGGUUGUAAAGCUCUUUCGCUAGGGAAGAUAAUGACGGUACCUAGUAAAGAAGCCCCGGCUAACUCCGUGCCAGCAGCCGCGGUAAUACGGAGGGGGCUAGCGUUGUUCGGAAUUACUGGGCGUAAAGCGCGCGUAGGCGGACUGAUUAGUCAGAGGUGAAAUCCCGGGGCUCAACUCCGGAACUGCCUUUGAUACUGUCAGUCUAGAGACCGAGAGAGGUGAGUGGAAUUCCUAGUGUAGAGGUGAAAUUCGUAGAUAUUAGGAAGAACACCAGUGGCGAAGGCGGCUCACUGGCUCGGAACUGACGCUGAGGUGCGAAAGCGUGGGGAGCAAACAGGAUUAGAUACCCCUGUAGUC